Pteronotus mesoamericanus is the source of this 1504-nucleotide long non-coding RNA. RefSeq lists it as uncharacterized. Lineage: Eukaryota; Metazoa; Chordata; Mammalia; Chiroptera; Mormoopidae. The record is from RefSeq and is a predicted model, not a curated record. The transcript is spliced from 3 exons.
ACCUGAAUCGUAGGACACCGAGCUGAUGUUCUGGAACUGUUUGUUGGGGGAGAGGCACCCAAUUUGGGAUUGGGUCUGGAAAGCCCCAUUCAAAGCCCCUAACAGGAACCCUUCUGCAUGCAAGUGGGCAGACGGAUGACUACCUGCAACAGAGGUGACGGCCACUCUAACGCAGCACGUGGGUGAUGCUGGGGUACCUCAGGUCUGAUAACAGCGGGUGAAAGCGUGGCGUGAGAGCCUCAAGGGGAAAGAGAAGAGCAACAGAAGGCCCUAUGGUGCGCUCAGACUGUUCAGGCCCUGGACCCCCUCUUGAGGCCCCUGCUGGCCCAGAGACCAAAACUCAAGAGAGGCCUGCAGGCCAGCAAGUAUGAGGCAUCAGGAGAAACGCUGUUCUUGCUGAGGAGACUUCAUAUAACAGGCACGUGUGCACCAUGAUGGGCAGACGAUGCAGAGUAACGGCCAGCUUCUCAUAGGAAGGGAACAAGGCAACCAUCCCUUAGGAGCAAGAGUGACCUCGUGCCUGGUGGUGAUGGCCACUCUGGACAUUGCCCACAACUGGAUGGUUCUAACGGCAAACGUUUGAUGAUCUGCCUGUUCUGGCUGGAUUUGCUUAUGGCGUUGGCCAUGGAUGAACACUCAGAUAGCUGGCUUCCCGGGACCCUCACCAGAAAACGGCAUUUUCUGCUGAGAAGCUAUGAGCAACUGAGAGGAACUAGGAUGUCUGGUUGGACCACACAGUGACUGCCAAUAACACCUUCUAGCAGAGACAGCUCGGGCGGCUCCCCUGUUAGGGGCCACCCAGCGCGGGGAUCGGAGGCAUAGACUAGGGGGGUGGGUCAUGUAGAAACGACCCAGAGGAGGAGGCAUUGGUGGUCACUGUCCUGGGUUUUGGCUUAGUGUCAGAUGUCAAUAAAACAUUAAAAAAAAAAAAAAAAUCAAACAAGCAAAACCCACCAGCACACAGAGCCACUAAACAUGACUCACCUUUAGAAUGCGAUGAAGAAUAUUCUGGAGCUUGACUCUUGGGGCCCAUUUAAAUACUCCAGUGAUCGUACCUGUGAUGUCAAUAAAACGUCUGGCCCAAUGUUCACUACUGAAAGCCCCCGAGGAGGAAAGUCCAUAUUGAAAAAGAAUUUAAGAUCUGUACUUAUAAUUUCAUAAGAGAGACCCUCCUCGAAGAGUCUUCUUUGCUAAUACUUCUGAAAUGACCUGGUGGUGUAUUUCUACCAGGUUUCACCUUCAGUAUCAAUACUAGUACCAUUCCUAUCUGAAAUGUCUGUUAUAAUUGUGUAAUUACACACCUCAUUUAUCCAAUUGUUAAGCCAGGAGACUGAUUAAAUAUUAACAACUGCUUGGUUCUCCUGGUGUCAUUAGUCGGAACACAACCCUGUAAUCUCAGGUAACACACGAUAGUAAUUAUCCUUCACAUUCACACUUAGCUGAAAACCCAGAGCAGUCAAUCCAGAUAAGGUUGCGUGGUAGAAAAUGCAUUGCCUUUAAAUCC